This 69-nucleotide small RNA is filed under the name Marinobacterium lacunae. RNAcentral's name for it is "Marinobacterium sp. AK27 int-alpA RNA". It matches the Rfam family "int-alpA RNA". From Rfam's summary of the family: Acidobacteria (1 example), Planctomycetes (1 example), Proteobacteria. Environment (Lake Washington) Lineage: Bacteria; Pseudomonadati; Pseudomonadota; Gammaproteobacteria; Oceanospirillales; Oceanospirillaceae. The record is from Rfam by way of RNAcentral.
GGCUGAUCUACCGGGACGCCGGGAAAAGGUGGUACCUCACCGCCCUGGUCAGCCUCCUAUAAAUGAGGG